Molecule: ribosomal RNA, 215 nt
Filed under: uncultured bacterium
Lineage: Bacteria
Description: partial 16S ribosomal RNA
Rfam family: Bacterial small subunit ribosomal RNA
Source: RNAcentral
UACGAAGGGGGCUAGCGUUGCUCGGAAUCACUGGGCGUAAAGCGCACGUAGGCGGAUCUUUAAGUCAGGGGUGAAAUCCUGGAGCUCAACUCCAGAACUGCCUUUGAUACUGGGGAUCUCGAGUCCGGGAGAGGUGAGUGGAACUCCGAGUGUAGAGGUGAAAUUCGUAGAUAUUCGCAAGAACACCGGUGGCGAAGGCGGGUCUCUGGGCCGUA